RNAcentral lists this ribosomal RNA (460 nucleotides) under uncultured bacterium. RNAcentral's name for it is "partial 16S ribosomal RNA". It matches the Rfam family "Bacterial small subunit ribosomal RNA", at positions 338 to 795 of the family's 1533-position model. The record is from RNAcentral.
CCUACGGGAGGCAGCAGUGAGGAAUAUUGGUCAAUGGGCGCGAGCCUGAACCAGCCAAGUAGCGUGAAGGAUGACUGCCCUACGGGUUGUAAACUUCUUUUAUAAGGGAAUAAAGUGAGGCACGUGUGCCUUUUUGUAUGUACUUUAUGAAUAAGGAUCGGCUAACUCCGGGCCAGCAGCCGCGGUAAUACGGAGGAUGCGAGCGUUAUCCGGAUUUAUUGGGUUUAAAGUGAGCGUAGAUGGGUUGUUAAGUCAGUUGUGAAAGUUUGUGGCUCAACCGUAAAAUUGCAAUUGAUACUGGCAGUCUUGAGUACUGUUGAGGGAGGCAGAAUUCGUGGUGUAGCGGUGAAAUGCUUAGAGAUCAGGAGGAACACCGAUGGCGAAGGCAGCUUACUAAACAGCCACUGACAUUGAGGCGCGAAAGUGUGGGGAGCAAACAGGAUUAGAUACCCCAGUAGUC